This 77-nucleotide transfer RNA is filed under the name Burkholderiales bacterium. RNAcentral describes it as "tRNA-Arg". It matches the Rfam family "tRNA". Rfam says of the family: Transfer RNA (tRNA) molecules are approximately 80 nucleotides in length. Their secondary structure includes four short double-helical elements and three loops (D, anti-codon, and T loops). Further hydrogen bonds mediate the characteristic L-shaped molecular structure. tRNAs have two regions of fundamental functional importance: the anti-codon, which is responsible for specific mRNA codon recognition, and the 3' end, to which the tRNAs corresponding amino acid is attached (by aminoacyl-tRNA synthetases). tRNAs cope with the degeneracy of the genetic code in two manners: having more than one tRNA (with a specific anti-codon) for a particular amino acid; and 'wobble' base-pairing, i.e. permitting non-standard base-pairing at the 3rd anti-codon position. RNAcentral also lists the same sequence under 2 other names. Lineage: Bacteria; Pseudomonadati; Pseudomonadota; Betaproteobacteria; Burkholderiales. The record is from RNAcentral.
CUGCCCGUAGCUCAACUGGAUAGAGCAACAGCCUUCUAAGCUGUAGGUCGGGGGUUCGAGUCCCUCCGGGCAGGCCA